RNAcentral lists this ribosomal RNA (576 nucleotides) under uncultured bacterium. Its description in RNAcentral is "bacterial SSU rRNA". It matches the Rfam family "Bacterial small subunit ribosomal RNA", at positions 338 to 916 of the family's 1533-position model. The record is from RNAcentral.
CCUACGGGAGGCAGCAGUGAGGAAUAUUGGUCAAUGGGCGCAAGCCUGAACCAGCCAUGCCGCGUGCAGGAUGACUGCCCUAUGGGUUGUAAACUGCUUUUAUACAGGAAGAAACAGUCCCUCGUGAGGGGCCUUGACGGUACUGUAAGAAUAAGCACCGGCUAACUCCGUGCCAGCGGCCGCGGUAAUACGGAGGGUGCAAGCGUUAUCCGGAAUCAUUGGGUUUAAAGGGUCCGCAGGCGGUCAAUUAAGUCAGAGGUGAAAUCCUACAGCUUAACUGUAGAACUGCCUUUGAUACUGGUUGACUUGAGUUAUACGGAAGUAGGUAGAAUGUGUAGUGUAGCGGUGAAAUGCAUAGAUAUUACACAGAAUACCGAUCGCGAAGGCAGCCUACUACGUAUAUACUGACGCUCAUGGACGAAAGCGUGGGGAGCGAACAGGAUUAGAUACCCUGGUAGUCCACGCCGUAAACGAUGGACACUAGUUGUUGGGCGUAAGUUCAGUGACUAAGCGAAAGUGAUAAGUGUCCCACCUGGGGAGUACGAUCGCAAGAUUGAAACUCAAAGGAAUUGACGG